Molecule: long non-coding RNA, 942 nt
Filed under: Homo sapiens (human)
Lineage: Eukaryota; Metazoa; Chordata; Mammalia; Primates; Hominidae
Description: HSALNT0362004
Source: RNAcentral
AGUUGUCUCUCCUUCUUGGUUUGAAAGCUGUUCUUUCGCUUUGAUACAUCUUUAUCCAUUCAAAGUAUAGGCAUUCAAGGUUUGAACCUGGGGCAUUAGCAAGCCAGAUUCUUCACCUGUAAGUUUAGGAUGUCGUGAGAAAUUUCUGCUUCUUCCCACUUUCUCACCCUUUUGGGUAAUGUUAGAAGAGACUGACCAGGCCCAAGGUUUUGAUGGCUCCACCCACAAAGUAUUUGAGAGAAUCUCGCAAGUGAUUGGGCAAAGCAUCGUAAGGAGAUUUUUCCCCCAUUUUGGACGUUAUAACCGUCCAGUCUACAGAAUAUCACAGGCUCUACUUUUGUGUCAAUUUAAAAUGAGGAUACAGAAAAUGAAGGCAAAGGGAAACUGUUGACAAUCCUUUGAAGUCAUGAAUAUACAAGAGCAUGAAUAAGAGAAGAAAAGAUGGAAGAUAAAAAGCAGAAGGGUGCUGGAGAUAUAAUGGUGAAUAAUGUUGCAAUAUGCCCAGUCUUCAUGGAAUCAACAGUCCAGUGGGGAAGGCAGAUAAGUGAGCAUAUUCCUUCUACUUACAGAAAAAGUCAACUGUAAAACAGCCUCAGGCAGGUCUUUCAGGAGAUAUUCCAGAAGGCAUUGUUAUCAUACAAAAUGAUAGCUCCAUGAGUAUCAUUUUCCCUGAAGACCAGUGGGACAAGAUGAGGAGAUGGAAGACAGUGAUAUGGAUGAUCCUGAACCUGAGACUGUAUAGGCCUAGGCUAAUGCAUGUGUUUGUGUCUUCGUUUUUAACUAAAAGCUUAAAAAGUAAGAAAAAUAAAAAUAAAACAUUUGAAAAUACAAAAAUCAUAUAGAAUUAAGGACAUAAGAAUAUUUUCGAACAGCUGUACAAUGUAUGUGUGUUUUAAGCUAAAUGUUAUUGCAAAAGAGCCAAAAGUUUUUUUAAAAAGUUUA